This 465-nucleotide ribosomal RNA is filed under the name Fusarium crassum. RNAcentral describes it as "partial 28S ribosomal RNA". It matches the Rfam family "Eukaryotic large subunit ribosomal RNA", at positions 81 to 558 of the family's 3401-position model. The record is from RNAcentral. Lineage: Eukaryota; Fungi; Ascomycota; Sordariomycetes; Hypocreales; Nectriaceae.
CAGUAACGGCGAGUGAAGCGGCAACAGCUCAAUUUGAAAUCUGGCUCUCGGGCCCGAGUUGUAAUUUGUAGAGGAUGCUUUUGGUGAGGUGCCUUCCGAGUUCCCUGGAACGGGACGCCAUAGAGGGUGAGAGCCCCGUCUGGUUGGACACCGAUCCUCUGUAAAGCUCCUUCGACGAGUCGAGUAGUUUGGGAAUGCUGCUCUAAAUGGGAGGUAUAUGUCUUCUAAAGCUAAAUACCGGCCAGAGACCGAUAGCGCACAAGUAGAGUGAUCGAAAGAUGAAAAGAACUUUGAAAAGAGAGUUAAAAAGUACGUGAAAUUGUUGAAAGGGAAGCGCUUGUGACCAGACUUGGGCUUGGUUGAUCAUCCGGGGUUCUCCCCGGUGCACUCUUCCGGCUCAGGCCAGCAUCAGUUCGCCCUGGGGGAUAAAGGCUUCGGGAAUGUGGCUCUCUCCGGGGAGUGUUA